Molecule: ribosomal RNA, 292 nt
Filed under: uncultured eukaryote
Lineage: Eukaryota
Description: partial large subunit ribosomal RNA
Rfam family: Eukaryotic large subunit ribosomal RNA
Source: RNAcentral
AUAUCACUAGGCGGAGGAAAAGAAACUAACAAGGAUGUCCUUAGUAACGGCGAGUGAAGCGGAUAAAGCUCAAAUUUAAAAUCGUAAGGUCCUUCUUCACCUCUUAGUGAAUUGGGCCUUGUGAAUUGUAGUUUUUCGAUCGGUUGUCACUUUAGCAACACUUUCAUAAAUUGGGUCUAAGUUAUUUGGAAUGAUACAUCAUAGAGGGUGACAAUCCCGUAUUCUUACCCAGGUGUUGCUUUAACACGUGUCAGCCUUUUGAUGAGUCGGGUUGUUUGGGAUUGCGCAAGCU